This 70-nucleotide transfer RNA is filed under the name Stereomastis sculpta. RNAcentral's name for it is "tRNA-Leu". The record is from RNAcentral. Lineage: Eukaryota; Metazoa; Arthropoda; Malacostraca; Decapoda; Crangonidae.
AUUGCUUUGGCAGAGAAACAUGCAUUAGAUUUAGGUUCUAAAAAGAUAGAGGUGAUUUCUAUAGGUAAUA